GCCUACGGGAGGCAGCAGUGGGGGAUAUUGCACAAUGGGGGGAACCCUGAUGCAGCGACGCCGCGUGGGUGAAGGAGCGUUUCGGCGCGUAAAGCCCUAGCGGCAGGGAAGAAGAUGACGGUACCUGACCAAGAAGCCCCGGCUAGCUACGUGCCAGCAGCCGCGGUAAUACGUAUGGUGCAAGCGUUAUCCGGAUUUACUGGGUGUAAAGGGAGCGCAGGCGGCACGGCAAGCCUGAUGUGAAAGCCC
RNAcentral lists this ribosomal RNA (249 nucleotides) under uncultured bacterium. RNAcentral's name for it is "partial 16S ribosomal RNA". It matches the Rfam family "Bacterial small subunit ribosomal RNA", at positions 337 to 603 of the family's 1533-position model. The record is from RNAcentral.